AGUUAGCUGAGAUACUCGCUUUCUUAAUUAGUCACUUUUUUUCUUAACAACACACAUUAAGGGAGUCUUAUAUCCUCCACUGCUGUGGCGGUGAAAUGCGGACACCCACCUGGAAUAAACGGGGAAAUAAUGUGGAAUUAAGGGCGGUAUUUUGGCCUGCAA
Molecule: non-coding RNA, 162 nt
Filed under: Candidatus Peregrinibacteria bacterium
Lineage: Bacteria; Candidatus Peregrinibacteriota
Description: 6S RNA
Rfam family: 6S / SsrS RNA
About the family: E. coli 6S RNA was the first non coding RNA to be sequenced, but its function was unknown until recently. It consists of 184 nucleotides that fold into an extended hairpin structure with a large single-stranded internal bulge.
Source: RNAcentral